Unclassified non-coding RNA from Papio anubis (olive baboon), 117 nucleotides. It matches the Rfam family "Metazoan signal recognition particle RNA". From Rfam's summary of the family: The signal recognition particle (SRP) is a universally conserved ribonucleoprotein. It is involved in the co-translational targeting of proteins to membranes. The eukaryotic SRP consists of a 300-nucleotide 7S RNA and six proteins: SRPs 72, 68, 54, 19, 14, and 9. The record is from Ensembl. NCBI's taxonomy places the organism in Eukaryota, Metazoa, Chordata, Mammalia, Primates, Cercopithecidae.
GCCAGGCAUGGUGGCUCAUGCCUGUAAUCCCAGCAUUUUGGGAGGCUGAGGUGGGCGGAUCACCUGAGGUCAGGAGUUCGAGACCAGCCUGGCCAACAUGGUGAAACCCCGUCUCUG